GCAGACAUAGUUUAGUAAAACAUUAGAUUGUGAUUCUGAAGACAGACGUUAAACCCGUCUUGUCCGCC
Molecule: transfer RNA, 68 nt
Filed under: Psettina iijimae
Lineage: Eukaryota; Metazoa; Chordata; Actinopteri; Pleuronectiformes; Bothidae
Description: tRNA-His
Rfam family: tRNA
About the family: Transfer RNA (tRNA) molecules are approximately 80 nucleotides in length. Their secondary structure includes four short double-helical elements and three loops (D, anti-codon, and T loops). Further hydrogen bonds mediate the characteristic L-shaped molecular structure. tRNAs have two regions of fundamental functional importance: the anti-codon, which is responsible for specific mRNA codon recognition, and the 3' end, to which the tRNAs corresponding amino acid is attached (by aminoacyl-tRNA synthetases). tRNAs cope with the degeneracy of the genetic code in two manners: having more than one tRNA (with a specific anti-codon) for a particular amino acid; and 'wobble' base-pairing, i.e. permitting non-standard base-pairing at the 3rd anti-codon position.
Source: RNAcentral